RNAcentral lists this transfer RNA (77 nucleotides) under Candidatus Pelagibacter sp. RNAcentral's name for it is "tRNA-Arg". It matches the Rfam family "tRNA". Rfam says of the family: Transfer RNA (tRNA) molecules are approximately 80 nucleotides in length. Their secondary structure includes four short double-helical elements and three loops (D, anti-codon, and T loops). Further hydrogen bonds mediate the characteristic L-shaped molecular structure. tRNAs have two regions of fundamental functional importance: the anti-codon, which is responsible for specific mRNA codon recognition, and the 3' end, to which the tRNAs corresponding amino acid is attached (by aminoacyl-tRNA synthetases). tRNAs cope with the degeneracy of the genetic code in two manners: having more than one tRNA (with a specific anti-codon) for a particular amino acid; and 'wobble' base-pairing, i.e. permitting non-standard base-pairing at the 3rd anti-codon position. Lineage: Bacteria; Pseudomonadati; Pseudomonadota; Alphaproteobacteria; Candidatus Pelagibacterales; Candidatus Pelagibacteraceae. The record is from RNAcentral. RNAcentral also lists the same sequence under 1 other name.
GCGCUUGUAGCUCAAUUGGAUAGAGCGCCUGACUUCGGAUCAGGAGGUUUAAGGUUCAAGUCCUUACAGGCGCACCA